This 219-nucleotide ribosomal RNA is filed under the name uncultured bacterium. RNAcentral's name for it is "partial 16S ribosomal RNA". It matches the Rfam family "Bacterial small subunit ribosomal RNA", at positions 524 to 736 of the family's 1533-position model. The record is from RNAcentral.
UACGUAGGGUGCAAGCGUUGUCCGGAAUUAUUGGGCGUAAAGAGCGUGUAGGCGGCCCGACCAGUCCGCUGUGAAAGUCCAGGGCUCCAACCCUGGAAUGCCGGUGGAUACUGUCGGGCUAGAGUCCGGAAGGGGCGAGUGGAAGUUCCUGGUGUAUGCGGGUGAAAUGACGCAGCGUAUCAGGAGGAACACCGAUGGCGAAGGCAGGUCUCUGGGCCG